CUGGGGAACCUCUCAAACCUACACUAUCUCGACCUUCAGGGAUGGUAUUAUGAUGAUUUUCUACAUGUUGAUGAUCUCGAUUGGCUCUCCCGUAUUCCUUCUCUAAAAUAUCUUGACAUGAGUUAUGUCAACCUCUCCAAAGCAACCAAUUGGUUCUACAUAAUUAAUUCAAUCCCCACACUUGAAGUGCUACAUUUGAUUUAUGUAGACCUGCCAUAUGUUCCAUCUCCUUUGCCCCCUUUUAAUCUGACAGACAUUGCUACGUUGGAUCUGUCUUUGAAUUCUAACAUCACGUCUGCCAUGCUAAGAUGGCUUUCUAACGCCACCAGCCUCGAGAACCUCCUUCUUUCUGGCUGUGGGAGUCUCACUAUCGAGUCGGUACAAGUUGCUCUAGGAGCUCUCCUUAAUCUGAAGGAAUUGGAUUUGUCAUUCAACUCCCUUAAAGGAGAAAUUCUUGAAAUUCUGAACAAUGUCAGUAGCAGUGGCCUGAAGCACUUGGAUUUGAGAUGGAAUCAAUUAUCUGGAGAUAUUCCUCGAGGGAGCCUUAGAGACCUGGAGUACCUAGACUUAUCAACGAAUUUAAUUGUCGACGUGCAUAUCUUAGCUUCUCUGGGGAAUCUCACAAACUUGCGACAUUUAGACUUGGGGUACAAUUUGAUCAGCGGAGAAAUUCCACCGACCGUGGGAGAUGCUGUCCGAUUGGAGUACCUAUAUUUGUCCUAUAAUGGCAUCAUUGGAAAAAUACCACAGAGCAUGGGGAACCUCAGUAACCUAUUGGAAUUACAUUUAUCAGGCAACAAAAUUGUGGGAUGGAUACCACCGAGCAUCGGCAACCUCAGUAACCUAUUGGAAUUACAUUUAUCAGGCAACAAAAUUGUGGGAUGGAUACCACCGAGCAUCGGCAACCUCACCAACUUGGUAUACUUAGAUUUAUCGAGGAAUAAUAUUGUCGGUUGGAUACCACCGAGCAUCGUCAACCUCACCAACUUGGUACACUUAGAUUUAUCAAUGAAUAAUAUUAGCGGAUACAUUCCAGAGACUUUGGGUACUCUCAUCCAUAUGGAGGAAUUAUAUUUGUUUAACAAUCGUAUUUCUGGACAAAUACCAGAAACCAUUGGGGAUCUUCAAAAUCUACGGAUAUUAUUUUUAAGCAAUAACCAUAUUUUUGGGCAGAUACCAAAGAAGAUCGGUAAACUCCACUACUUGCAAAACUUGGACAUGUCAUAUAACAACUUAUCAGGUCAGAUACCAACUACGUUGGGUGACCUAUGCAAUUUGACCGUGUUAGAUUUGUCUCACAAUAACAUUGGUGGAGACCUUACAAAUCUAUUCUAUGGUUUGUCUACUUGUUCACAAGGAGCAUUUUUAUCAUCCUUAGUCCUGAAGGGUAACAAUUUGAGUGGGAUUAUUCCUUCGAGCAUGGGCCAAUUAUCUCGGCUACAAGAGGUAGACCUCUCCUCAAACUCGCUGGCUGGCAACAUUACCGAAGCACACUUUUUAAAUCUUACGAGCUUAUCAAAAUUGAUAAUCGCUUCCAACUCCUUGAAUGUGAUGCUACCGAAUGAUUGGCGGCCCCCUUUUAAUGCCUCCAUUAUCGAUAUGAGCUUUUGUCAUCUACGAGGAAAAUUUCCUGCUUGGAUUCGGACUCAACAACAAUUGCAAAGUCUUUAUCUAUCUGGAGUUGGAGUCUCAGGCAGCCUCCCUAUUUGGUUUUCAAAUUUCUCAAAAGGUUUGAAAAUUCUUUACUUGAGCUCCAACUAUUUGACUGGUCAAUUACCUUCUCCUCCCCAAUUGAUAUUGAUAUUGGAUCUUUCCAACAACUCAUUUGUUGGACCUAUUCCAUUGAGCUUCGAAGAAGCUACGUACCUCCUUUUUUUAUCUUUGUCUCAUAAUCAUAUGAAUGGUGAUUUUCCUCCCUUCUUUUGUAAUCUGAAUUUCCUUAUGAUUCUCGACCUAUCUAACAAUCACUUAAUUGGAAAAGUCCCCGAUUGUCAUAAUUCAUUUCCAAUCUCUCUACGAUCUUUACAUUUAAAUAAUAACAAUUUAUCUGGAAGGAUUCCUUCAUUUUUGAAAUACUGUAACCAAUUAAUUAACCUUGAUUUAGGUGAAAAUAAAUUAUUUGGUAAAAUUCCGAAAUGGAUAGGAAGAAACCUCUCGUCAUUGAAGGUUCUUAGUCUGAGGUCAAACUUAUUAAAUCGUGUUAUCCCUGAGAACAUAGUGAAUCUCACUUCUCUUCAGGUUUUGGAUCUUUCUUCCAACAAUUUAUUUGGUAGCCUACCAUCAUCUCUAGGAAAUUUCACUGCCAUGGUUGAGGUACAAAAUGACACGAGGUCAUUGAUUGAAGAUUACUAUUCUUACAUCGAGAGCAUCUUAUUCACAACAAAGGAAUUAAUAGUUGAAGAACACUGUUCUUAUAGCGAGAGCAUCUUGCUAACUACAAAAGGGGAAAUUGCUGAUUACACAACCAUUCUCUCGCUCGUGACAUUCAUAGACUUGUCAAAUAAUCAGCUCUCUGGUGAAAUCCCGAAAGACCUGACAAAGCUUCUCGGACUGCGCUUCCUAAACUUAUCCAACAAUCAUUUGACGAGGAGGAUUCCAGAAAACAUUGGUGACAUGAAAACAUUGGAAUCGCUUGACUUAUCUGUGAACAGUCUGAUAGGGGAGAUACCUUCGAGCUUUUCUGCUAUGCAUUUCCUGGAACGUUUGAAUCUGUCUUACAACAACUUAUCAGGAAAAAUACCCACGAGUGGUCAAUUGUCGACCUUUGACCCUUCGACAUAUGUGGGUAAUAAAGGCCUUUGCGGUAUGCCACUGCCAGCUUGCCCUGUUUAUCAAACUCCACCCGAUGCCAGAGUUAAAGAUGAUGAGAAGCUCGACAAAUUAUUGGAGUACACCAGUAUUGUGGUUGGAUUUGUGGUUGGCUUCUGGCUGUUUAUUGGCACUCUCAUCAUGAAGCAGGCCAUCAGAUUCGCUUUCUUCCGACGGAUCGACAAGACCAUUGACUGGAUCUAUGUUCAGUUUGCAGUUAAGCUUGCGAAGCUCAAAUCCAAAUGGCAAACAACGACAUGAACUGCCGGUAAGUGCUAAAGUGUGUCAUGUUUUCCUUUGUAGUUAGUCGCAUCGAAAUCUUGCGUUAGCAUGUAAUGAUGUUAUCAUAUUAUGCUGUCAUGAUUAAGCUGAAAUAAGCAUCAUGGAUUCCCUGUAUACAUUACAUGCAUUAGUUCUAGUAUCAUAACAUCUCCAUCUAUCAUCACUUUGCUAUCGCAAGGCCUUCGCUUAUGGAUUGAUACAUACAUAUCUGACAACUAAAAAGAUUAAUUGCAAGAGUGUAUGUCAUACAUACUCUGUUUGCUAACGAAAUAGUUAAUCUACCUAUAUUUAAUCGAUGUUUGAGAGGGAAGAUUGUGUUCUUCUGUUAGUGUCCUUACGAUAGAAAAAAAAAUUCAACUUUGUUAUUAUGCUCAAAUUAGAUAAAGAUAAUGACAAUCACAGUAUGGAGAGACAAUUAGACAAUAAAAUUGUAACCAUUAUUGUGGACAUGCUCUUAGCGUUUGGCUGAAAUCAAUGUCUUAUUCGAGUGGCGAAUCUUUUUUUUCUGAGAAGAGACUGUAUAAUUUGAUUCUUCUCCACAUUCAUAUGGUAUGAGACUCACUCUUCAUUUUCUACCAAAGUACAUAUUUUUUUUCUGCAAAAAUAAAAUCCACGUCCAACGAAUUAUUUUUUUCUAAAAGUGAAUUAUUAUUAAUAAAUAAGUUUUAUAAAUUCAUAGCAAUCCCACUCUAGACUGCUUAUUCCUAUCAUUUGGGUGCUAAAUCUUGAGACCUUUUGAAUAUAUAAUUGUCUUAAGAGAGAUAUUUUAUGUUUCUUGAUUGAGUUUUUUUCGUUAAUCAACAUUUUAUGUUAUAUGCGUUUGUUUCAAUAUUCAUAACAUGAGAGCAUAUAUAUAUAUUUUUUGUUCCUUUUUCCUGGAAAUCAUAUUUUGCAGGACUGGCAGAACUUUGAUUUAGGUGUUACCAGAAUGCUUUAUAUAACUUCCCGAUUUGCUGCUAUUUUGGGGUUUAUAAUAAAAAGCAGAUUGCCACCAGUUCAGCUGAUGCAGGAGUCAAACUAGAAGAAGAUGACAAUGGAGAUAUGCUUGAAACAAUAAUAUUAGAUGUUACUAGCGUUGUCGUGGGAUUAAUAGUUGUUUCUGGGGUUUCUAUCGGCGUAGUGAUCGUGAAGCAAGGCUCAAGGAUUACUCUCUUCCAACAAAAUGACAACAUCUAUGGCUGCAUGCAGAUAUGUGCAGCUGAAAGCUGAAGCCCAAAAUAAUGACGAAGAAUCAAUUGAACUGUGGCUAAGUGCUAAGACUGUCUAUGUAGACUUCAUGUAUUUAUGUUCUAGUGUUUUAUUUCAUGAAUGACCAUUUGGUGUUGUCCAGAAAUAAGGUUGUUGUUUAAAUAUAACAUCUGAGACAUGGCAUCAGGAUUGCUCUGUUCCAGUUGAUCGGCAGGACUUGUGAUUGGAUCUAUGUGCAGGUGGCAGUAAAGCUUAAGGAACCGAAGUGCAAAUGGCGAAGAAUGACUUGAAGAAUCACCAAGCAUCUCAAGCUCAUGUCAUCCUCUUCAUGUUAUGAUGUAUUUAUGUUUCUUGUAAUUGUUGUAGUCUCUUUAGAGUCUUAAAUCUAUUGGCAACUUGCUGCUGCUUUUUAGUGUAGUGAAACUUAAUUUACUGCAUCACUUAUUGCUUCUUUUCCAGAAACAAACCAAUGGUCCACAGGAGGGCAAAUGAGUUGUCAUAACAUACGCAACAUAUUACUAUGAAUUGAGAAUUGCUCCAGUGGAAGCAUCAUAACUCCAUCCUACAUAUACAUGAAAUUGAUUUCAGUGAGUGCUUCAGGGGAUUCCAGCUGAGAACAAAGUGUGAUUAUGUUCAAUAUAUCUCAAUCAGGGGAAGACUUGCUCAUGCUUUCAUAAUGGAUUUAACCAUUCAAAGUGUUUUCUAUGGCCUUGGAAGUUGCUGUUCUGUUGUCAGAUCUCUUCAAUCUCUCAAACUCUCAACUAUUCAAAUCAUGCCUUAGUUUGAUGAACCAAAUGGAUUAAUCAAAAGAAUGAUUCUGGAUUAAUCAAAAGAAUUAAUCAAACCAAGCUUUCUCUUUAUAUGCUACUUCAAUCUCUCUGUGACCAAGCUUUCUCAGUGGAGAAAUUCCAAUAAUUUGGUUCAUUUAGAUAUAUCAAGUAACUUUAUUACCGGACAAUUACCACCACCGGGGAACCUCAUCAACUUAGAAUACUUAGAUUUAUCAUCCAACAAUAUCGUCGGAAGUAUUCCACAUACUUUGGGUUCUCUCAUCCAUCUCAAUAUAUUAAUCUUACUUCAAAAUGAUAUUUCUUGACGUAUACUAGAAACCAUUACAUUUCAAGAUCUUAAGUUAUACAACUUAGACGAAUACAAGAGACAAUUGGUAGACUCUAUCACUCGAAAAUUUUGAACAUAUCAUACAAUAACUUAUAGAUACCAAUGAUAUUAGGUAAUUUGACCAUGCGACUCUUUCUUUAAAUUAUUCUUAAUUUUUUAGGAAUUCUUUUUUACCCGAAACAUGGUUAUUUUUUUCAAAAUAAAUUUGUGUCCAACCAAGGAAACUUGUCCAAAACAUUUGAUGAGAGUAUAAACUUCUUAUGCCUAUCAAUCGGGUGCUAAAAGAUUGAAAAUUGGAUAACCAUCUCAAGAAAUAUUUUCUUUGGUAAUCAGAAUUCCUGCUUGAGUGGUUUUGGUCAACCAACGUUAAUUGCUUCAACAUAUUUACUGACCACAGCAAAAAAUGAUUAUGUGGAAUAUUUUUCCUUGACUGCCACAAAAUAAGUUUGGGAACGGACUCAAAAUUGGGUCGGAUUCGGGCUCGAAUCGAAUCGACUCGGGAUGUUGACCGAAGUCAACUUCUCACCGGCCCCACCUGCGUUCCUCGCCGCAGCCGUUCCCAUCGCCUGCGUUCACACAGUGCACCGCCGCACGCGGGGGCGUUUCACGCUCGCAGUCCUCCCCGCGGCCGCAGCCCGCUGUCUUCAUCGACGCCUCCCCGUGUGCCCGCACCGGCCCCCCCCAGCCACAGUCGCCGAAGUCGUCCAACGCAGCCGCAGUCGCACCUCUCCGCUCGCAGGCGGCGAGCCCUCCACCUUCCCUUGCUCCUAUAAAUAGAGCUUUGGGGAACAACAGCGAGGGAAGCGAAGGAGAGAACAACGAGAGAGAGGAAGAGAGGAGAAGUGAGUAAGGAGCCCAAAUCCGACCAAUGUUCUUCUCCGGCGAGAAGUCCAGUCGCCGAUCUCCGUCGCCGGCCAGUCACUGUGCUCAUUGCAGCACCAUUGAGGAAGAGAGGAGAAGAGGAAGAAGAGGAAUUUGACUGGUCAACCCUGGUCAACAUUGAUGAACAGAGGUAAUUUUGUAAUUUUGGUUUAUAUGGUAAAUUUUAGAUUUUUUUAUAAAGAAAGUGAAUGUUGCAACACUCCUAUUAAUCCUUUCAAUAUAUGGUAUUUGAGCCUUUUUACUAGAUUAUCAAGUUACCGGGCUUCAUCGAUAGACAUAAGAAACAAGAUCAAAAAAGUGGAUCGAAACAUCAACUACUCUCUAUAAACGAUAAAGAUGAAGACUAUCUGAAUAAAGGAGAAACAUCAUUACACUAUCUUCGGGAAAGAAAAAAUAACAAACAUGAAUGAGAAAAAGUAGAAUUUGAUCAAAGUGUUAUGACAAUUUUAUUUAUGUGCAUAUCCAAUGAAGCACUUUACGAUAUUGCCAUAAAACAAACAACAGUAAAAGUUUGAGACACAAAGCAUAUUAGUAGAAGACCCUUACAAGAAAAAUGACCCUCAAGUAUAUGUUGUACCGAAUGACAAAAGGAACCUUAGUGAAUCAAUACAUUAGUGUCUUUCAAACUAAAAUUCAUGGAUCUUGAGAAUAUGAAUGUUGUCAUCGACGAAGAAGACAAAGCCAUGUUAUUAUUAUUUUUAUAUAAAAACUUUUUGAAAAUAAUUUUAUAUUGAAAGAAUACCAUUUCUCUAGAUAUUAUGAUUUUAACCCUAGUGUCAAAAGAAUACCAUCUCUUUUAUAGACUUCUAGUUGACAAUGGAAACCUCCAAAAGUCAUGCUGAAGCUUUAAACUUCAUGGAGAGAUGUAGAGUUUAGGAAAGGAGACAGAAAUAAAUCUAUAGCCAAAUCUAGAUCAAAGUAAGUAUUAUUGCAAAAGGAAGGGCCACAUCAAAGCAGACUGUUGAGCUUAAAAUAAAAUGCAACAAUCAAAAUGCUAAAGCCUCAUGCAUAAACAAAGAGAUUGAGAUUGAGGUACUUAUGGCCUCCAUAUGCCACCAGGCCACAGGAUGGGUGGCUUUUGGACUCCAUAUGUUCCUUUCAUAUGAUACAACAUGGAUGUUAGUUCUCCACUUAUGAACUCACCCAAGAAGAAAAAGAUGCGCUUAUGGGAAGAACUCAUCGUGUUAGAUCAUCCAAACAGGACAAGUUAAAAUCAAGACACGACAUGAUUAUAAGAUCCUUGGUAAAGGUAUAGCACAUUCGUGAGUUAAAGAGAAACUUAACUUUAUUAUCCACUUUGGAUGCCUUAGGCUAUGACUAGUCUGACCAAUGAGCCCAAAUCGAACAAAAGUUCUUCGACAAAACAUUUUUUCAUCGAUCUUUGUCGUCGGUCCAUCGCUUAAUCUCAUUGCAACAGUUGUAAAGUAGAGAAAGUUGAUCGGUGAACUUUGGUUAUUGUUCUAACUCUCACAUCUUUAUCGUGAGUUGAUUAUUAUUUAACAGUUAAAUUGUUCACACCUAAAUCCCCAACACCCAAAUCUCUCGUAUUAAUCAAUCAACUCUCGAUAGCAUCAGAUUUAUGUCUCCUUCACAUAGGUUUGCAUCCGACUUGAGUCUCAGGCAGCCUCCCUAUUUGGUUUUCAAAUUUCUCAAAAGGUUUGAAAAUUAUUAACUUGAGCUCCAACUAUUUGAUUGGUCAAUUACCUUCUGCUCCCCAAUUCAUAUUGAAUCUAUCCAACAACUUAUUUGUUGGACCUAUUCCAUUGAGCUUGAAAAAAGCUACGAGACUCAUUUUGUUAUUUUUGUCUCAUAAUCAUAUCAACGGUGAUUUUCCUUUCUUCUUUUGUCAUAUGGAUUCACUUGGAGUUCUAGACCUAUCUAACAAUCACUUAAUUGGAGAAGUCCCCGAUUGUCAUAAUUCAUUUCCGAUCUCUCUACGAUCUUUACAUUUAAAUAAUAACAAUUUAUCUAGAAGGAUUCCUUCAUUUUUGAAAUACUGUGACCAAUUAAUUAUCCUUGAUUUAGGUGAAAAUAAAUUAUUUGAUAAAAUUCCGAAAUGGAUAGGAAGAAACCAUGAAGGUUCUUCGUCUGAGGUCAAACUUAUUAUAUGGUACUAUCCCUGAGAACAUAGUGGAUCUCACUUCUCUUCAGGUUUUGGAUCUUUCUUCCAACAAGUUCUUUGGUAGCCUACCAUCAUCUCUAGGAAAUUUCACUGCCAUGGUUGAGGUACAAAAUGACACGAGGUCAUUGAUUGAAGAUUACUAUUCUUACAUCGAGAGCAUCUUAGUCACAACAAAGGGAUCAAUGGUUGAGUACACAACCAUUCUCUGGCUGGUGACAUGCAUAGACUUGUCAAAUAAUCAUCUCUCUGGUGAAAUCCCAAAAGAACUGACAAAGCUUCUCGGAUUGCGCUUCCUAAACUUAUCCGAGAAUCAUUUGACGGGAAGGAUUCCAGAAAAGAUGGGUGACAUGACACUAUUGGAAUCGCUUGACUUAUCAGUGAACAGUCUCACAGGGGUGAUACCUUCGAGCUUUUCUGCUAUGAAUUUCCUGGCCCGUUUGAAUCUGUCUUACAACAACUUAUCAGGAAAAAUACCCACUAGUGGUCAACUGUCAACCUUUGACUCAUGGACAAAUGUGGGUAACAAAGACCUUUGCGGUACGCCACUGCCAGAUUGCCCUGUUUAUCGAAUUCCACCUGACGCCAGAGUUAAAGAUGAUGAGAAGCUCGACAAAUUAUUGGAGUACACCAGUAUUGUGGUCGGAUUUGUGGCUGGCUUUUGGCUGUUUACUGGCACGCUCAUCACGAAGCAGGUCAUCAGAUUCGCUUUCUUCCGAUGGAUCGACAAGGCCAGCGAUUGGAUCUACGUUCAGUUUACAGUUAAGCUUGCGAAGCUCAAAUCCAAAUGGCAAACGAUGACAUGAACUGUGGGUAAGUGUUCAUGUUGUCCUUUGUAGUUAGUCACAUCGAAAUCUUGUGUUAGCGUGUAAUGAUGUUAUCAUAUUAUGCUGUCAUGAUUAAACAGAAAUAAGCAUCAUAGAUGGUCUAUAAUCGUUAUAUGUAUUAGUUAUAGUAUCAUAACAUCUCCAUCUAUCAUCAUUUUGCCAUCGUCUGGCCUUCGUUUAUCAAUCGAUACAUAUCUGACAACUAAAAGAUUGAUUGCAAGUGUCUCUGUCAUACUCUGUUGGUCCCUUUUUUUUUGUUGCAAAAAUCAAUUAUAUUUCUUGAGAUUAUAUACAAAGUUCAUUGUUUCAUAGAGAUUGUUUUCUCCUGUUAUUGUUGUUACAAUAAAAGAAAAUUCAACCAUGUUAUUAUGCUCUAGUGAUACAAUUAGACAAUAAAAUCGUAACCAUUGUUGUGGACAUGAUCUUGGUAUUUGGCCAAAAUUGAUGUUUUAUUCCAGUACCGAAUCUUUCUUUUCAGAGAUGAGAUUGUAUAUUUUGAUCAUUAUCAAAAUCCAUAUUACUAUGAGACUCACUCUUUAAAAAAAUCAUUAUUAACCAUUUAUAUAUCCAUUUUUUACAAAAGUAUAUUUUUUGAAAAAAAUAAAAUCCAUGUUCAACCAAACAAAUUUAUCCAUCAAGUUUUUCUAGAAGUAAAUUAUUAUUUAUAAAUACAUUUUCAAAUUCAUGUCUAUCACAGUUUAGACUGCUUAUUCCUAUCAUCGGGUGCUAAAGCUCGAGACAUUUGAUUAUAUAAUUAUCUUAAGAAAGAUAUUCUAUGUUUCUUGAAUGAUUUUUUUUGACAGAUCAACAUUUUAUGUUACGGGUGAUUGUUUCAGUAUUCUUAACGGACAUCUAAAUAUGGUCGAUUAGUGUCCGACCAAAUCAUCUCGAAUUGAGGACAUCAAAAAUUGAAUGCCAGUAACCUAAGACAUAAUUGAAUAGCAAAUAUCUAUGAAUUACUUGUCAAAUUACUUAAGAACAACAUUACAAAAAAAAUCCUUUACGGUUAUGAUUUUAUUGUUCAAAACACACAUGUCUUAGAUGUGUAUUAUAAGGUUUUAUCUAUAAGAUCGUCCUUUAAGAUAUAUGUAGAAAGAUGUUUAGAGUCUUUGAAAUCGGGUUUGAGUUGAAUUAGAUUUAUUUUAUUUUAUCUAAUUAAUUUAAUCAAUUUAUUUCUUGUAAUAUUCAUUACAAAAUAACUAUCUACUAAAUGGAGAUAGUUAUAUAUUUUAACUACAAAAGACUCAAUCCUUGAAGACUCGUUAGUUAAUAAGCUCUAUCUUUAAGAGUUGAAUAGCUCUUGUCGAAUAUAUCCUCGACUUAGUUUUAUAAUUCGUUGGUUGAUAAGCUCUAAGGGUAUUACUCCUUAAGUAACAUACUAUCUAUACCAUCUAACGUAUAUAUUUAUUACGCAUUCUAGUAUAUCUCUGGUUUAGUUUUGAUGAAGAUCAUUUACUUGAGUUAUUUUAUCAUCAUACUAAACUUGUGACAUAGGUUAUCUGAAAGGAGGAUAGCUCUAUGAGAUUGUUAAACAUAAUAUAUAAUCAAAAUCGAUGUCGAUACUUAAGAAAUGACAUGUACUCUUAUCGUCGAAGAAAAAAAUAUAUCCACACUACAUUACUAAUGAAUAAAUUGAAACUCCAUUUAUGAUAAUCGAACAAAUGUGACUCCUAUCGAUUGGUCAACAAAAUUGGAACAUUAAUAAAUCAUUCAACUAUUAGAUGAGUUGAUUUUUUCUUUCACAAUUAAACUCUUCACAUCUAAAUCUUCAUUAUUCAUCAAAUACCCAAGUCUCACGUAUUAAUCAAUCAACUCUCGUUCACGUUGACCAGUGUGCAUGCAUCAGAGUCUCCGAGAGACAUAUGUGUCUCAUUCAAAUUGACUUGCGCCGAGCCAAAUAUAAGACUUUCUUGGUCAUAUGAUAGAAGCCUGGAUGAGUGUUCAGACUUUAUGCACUCAUACACAACUUUUUCCAACCUCACGCCACAUAGAAGGUGGAAAUUAAAGGUGUGAGAUCUUUCGUGGCAAUUCACCUCUUCCAUCCCAUAUCCAAUCAUUCAAUAUCCAUGCUUUUCAAUACCGAAAUUUUUUUUGACGUGUUCAUCGGGGAACAUCAACAUUUACUUUUUUUUUUCUUUUAUAUGAAAGAAUUUUAGAUAAUUUACUUAGAAAAUAAGUCAUGAUUAACUUUUUACCAAGAGCAUUCUUUUUACCAUGAUUAACUUUCAGAAAAUUCUUCCAUCUCGAUACUAAUUUUGUGACAAAGGUGAUCUCGAAGCAAAUUUAUUCUAUAACGUUGAUAGAUGAAUCAAAAUUGACAUCAACACUUGAAAAGUGGCACGUUAAAGUCCCAACCACUCUUCUACGGUAAUUAAGCAACUGUGACUCCUCUUGACCAGUUGACAAAAUCUCUGACGCUAAUCUUUAUCAUGACUUGAUUGUUGUUUCGUAGUUAAGCUCUUGGCAUCUAAAUCUCCAGCAUUCAUCAAACACCCAACUCUCACGUGUUAAUCAAUAACUCUCAAUGACAUCAGAGUUUCCAAGAGACAGAUGUAUCUCAUUCACAUUAAUUUGCACCUUAGCAACACGAUAAGAUGCAAGACUUUGACUUGCGUCUCAGCCUUCGAUGAGUAUGGAUGAUUUCCCUCCGACCUCACACCAUAUGGAAGACAAAGAUGGAAAUCAAAGCAUCGUGACCUAUCAUUGGAAGAGUCCUCUUCCAAUAUUUCACUCCAUCCAUAUCAAACCAUUCAUCACGUCAUCAGAAAUAUCCAUACUUUCCAACGUCGAAAGUCUCCUUGACUUGUAUGUCGGGGAGCAUAAACAAUUUAUAUCCUUUUUUUAUUUUAUAUAAAAAUAUAUUUUAAAUAAUUUAUUAAAAAAAGAUCAUAAUUAGCGUUUAUCAAAGAGUAUUCUUUUUUCUGAAUUUACUAAAGAGCUCUUUAUUUUAGGGAUUUUUACAUAGUUUUACGGUGUGAAUCUAUCCAAGUUCGAUUUAAAAAAACAAAAUAUCUAAAAUCAUCUAAAAAUAGAAAACCCAAUGAAAUUACUAUUUCAUGUUGUAUUUAUCUUCUAUAUUAAAAUUGAGUUGAAUAAGCUUUUAAGUCAUUAUACUCAUACAUGUACCAUGUUAUAUUCGAUGGCAGAAUCAACAUAGGAAAUAUAUCACUUAAGAAACCUCUAGAAUCACCUUAAAAAUAGAAAAGAAGAAUGAAAUCAACAUGUAUAUCAUAUUUGCCUGCUCUAUCGAAAGAUACAAGUAAGUUUGUGUUACACUUUGUAACGCUAGUAAAUCAACGCUGGAUGGAACCCUCACAUCAGAAUUAAGUUUCCUUUGACUUCUAACUGCGUAUUAGCCACACUAAAGUACGAGUAUGCAUGACCUUGACUGCGUAUUAGCCACUGCAUCAAUUCUACAGAUAAUGUGCGUACAAGUCAUGGGGAUUUCCGGUGGUGAUGUGCCUAUACAUACCCACAGAGACAUCCUCUGCAACCUCACACCUUCACAUUUCUUCUCUCUCGAGCGUUCCAUCAAUGGCUGCAGCUGGUAGCGGCAGUUUCCAGGACGGACGUAUUGCCUCGAAACGUCUCAUGAUGCUCGUGGCCCUGCUUCUCGUCUCCUGCUGUCUCGGCCAUGGCUUCGGCGAUGAGGAUCAUGUCGAGGUGGAGGGAAUCGGCAGCAGUUGCAUGGAAAGCGAGAGGAGAGCUCUCCUCGCCAUCAAAUCCGAUAUGUACGACCCCGACAACUGGUUUUCUUCUUGGACCGGCAAAGACUGCUGUGGGUGGAGAGGUGUGGCCUGCGACCACACCACCGGCCAUGUCACCAAGCUCGACCUCCGCUAACCCUACACAUACGAAUUGUGGGAUAUGUUUAACGAUGGGGAAACAAUAGGCGUGAGCAAGGUAAAUCCAUCUUUGCAAGAACUGAAGCAUUUGCAAUACGCCCCUGUGCCUAAAAUGAUCGCUUCACUAGUCCACUUGGAAUAUCUCAACCUAUCUUAUGCCAUGUUCGAUGGACUGAUUCCUCCUCAGCUGGGGAACCUCUCAAACCUACACUAUCUCGACCUUCAGGGAUGGCACAGUUUAUACAUCGAUAGUCUUGAUUGGCUCUCCCGUAUUCCUUCUCUGAAAUAUCUUGACAUGAGUUAUGUCAACCUCUCCGAGGCAACCAAUUGGUUCUACAUAAUUAAUUCAAUCCCCACACUUGAAGUGCUACAUUUGUUU
Molecule: long non-coding RNA, 13449 nt
Filed under: Musa acuminata (dwarf banana)
Lineage: Eukaryota; Viridiplantae; Streptophyta; Magnoliopsida; Zingiberales; Musaceae
Description: long non-coding RNA (MACU_LNC001599)
Source: RNAcentral